RNAcentral lists this long non-coding RNA (1602 nucleotides) under Homo sapiens (human). Its description in RNAcentral is "non-protein coding LINC01117:5". The record is from RNAcentral. Lineage: Eukaryota; Metazoa; Chordata; Mammalia; Primates; Hominidae.
AAAAAAAAAACCCUAACUGUAAAUAUUAUUUGGAGGGUUGGCUGUACAUAUCCAUGUCAGUCACCGCGCCCGGCCCCACUUUCUUCUCAUUUCUAAGUGUACUUUUGUGGCAUUUAAACUGCCGAUGGUGACUUUGGUGUUGAGCGGUGUUGUUUCCACAGCCCACACUGAAGGCAUUGGGAGGGACCCAGGAGGGCACAAGGUGUUUUAAGGCCCUUUCCCACCUGCCAAACACCUUUUGCUGUUGCUUUUUGGUUUUAUUUUGUUUUGCGAAACCGGGGAAUAGUGACUUAAGGACUCGGCUUUCUGCCUUGUGCCAGAGAGCCACAGUACACUGCUUUUAUUUUUAUUUUUUGGUAAGACUUGGCUAUAGGAAGGACUGAGAAUAUAGCUUUCAUUUCUUUUAAAAAACAUUUCCUUUUCUUUUAAAUAGAUACGUGAUCAUUUAACACACGGGUGUUAAGUUCAUUCUUGCUGCAAAAGAAGGCCAUUGUACCUCCUGACCCUGAAAGCAAGGCGUUUCCAUUUGGAAGUUGUUGCCCAUAAUUUUGAGGCAAAUAUAGAGGAAAAGAUUACGGUCCUUAGUAUGAAUGACUUGUGAAGAGGCUAAUUUAGGGCUGCUUCUUUGGAGACAUUGGAGAUUUGAGGCUUGACAUCUACUGAGCUCAAGAAAAGAGAAUUUUCUGCUGGGAAGAACUAAAGCCAAAAGAAGAAAUUUUGGACCUAGAAAGAACAUGAGUCUAUGUUACAGAUGAAGUCACUGAGACACCAAAGGUUAAUUGCUUGCCCAAAGCCAUGUAGCAACUUGGUGAGUACCAGUAUUUAAAAUCUUACACUCUUGCUUCCUUAACAAUGGAACAAAGUUAUUGCUUGUAUCACAGGAGAUUGGUGUCAAUGAACAAUGGAGCAAAGGGGUCACAUAUUGCUUGUUUUAAAAUUGUAGACUCUUUCUCAUAUUAAUGGAGUCCUUUACUGUGUUUUCCAGGUUGAAGUUACUUUAGUGUCGAAAGCUCCACAUAUGUGCUUUUCGCAAAAUCAAUAGUCACCCCAUGCAAACGAAGAGAUGGUAAUUAGAGAUGGGACAGACCCCAACAUAUCCUUCAUUUGAAGAUAGAAUAAAUUCAGCAAGAUACCUAAUUAUUAUCAUCAUCUUUCACAAAAACAUAUGUGAUUUUUCCCCCCUACCCAAAUGUUUUAGUGAAAACUGCAACUGUGCAUUAAAAGGCAGUUUUGCAUGCAUAUAUUCAGAGAACAAUAUGGAGAAUCUAUCCCUUGGGAUAAAAAAAAAAACACCCAGCAACAACAAACUUGAAAACAGAUGGUUCUGAUACAGUCUGAUAAGAAUGUAAACAAGAAAAUCUUUGUUGACUUAUUUCAUAGUAAUCAGUAAUAAUUAGUUAUUGUCUAGAGGUGAGUUACAAAUUUCACAAGCAUGGCCACGAACAGCCUCUGAAAAGUGAAGCUAAAUUUGUGACAUCAGUGAGGAAUUACUGACCCCUGCUGAACCCUCCUUAUUAACAUUUUUCUUGAUUGACAUAAAGGAAUGAAACCCUGGAAGAGGAUAAUUUCUGCAUUCUUUGUUUUUUCUUUUGUCAUCAUUUG